This 456-nucleotide ribosomal RNA is filed under the name uncultured Acholeplasma sp. RNAcentral's name for it is "bacterial SSU rRNA". It matches the Rfam family "Bacterial small subunit ribosomal RNA", at positions 920 to 1378 of the family's 1533-position model. The record is from RNAcentral. Lineage: Bacteria; Bacillati; Mycoplasmatota; Mollicutes; Acholeplasmatales; Acholeplasmataceae.
ACCCGCACAAGCGGUGGAUCAUGUUGUUUAAUUCGACGAUACGCGAAGAACCUUACCAGGUCUUGACAUCCCCUGCAAAGCUAUGGAGACAUAGUGGAGGUUAUCAGGGAGACAGGUGGUGCAUGGUUGUCGUCAGCUCGUGUCGUGAGAUGUUGGGUUAAGUCCCGCAACGAGCGCAACCCUUAUUGCUAGUUACCAUCAUUAAGUUGGGGACUCUAGCGAGACUGCCAGUGAUAAACUGGAGGAAGGUGGGGAUGACGUCAAAUCAUCAUGCCCCUUAUGACCUGGGCUACAAACGUGAUACAAUGGCUGAACAAAGGGCAGCGAAGGAGCGAUCCUGGAGCGAACCCAAAAAGCAGUCUCAGUUCGGAUUGAAGUCUGCAACUCGACUUCAUGAAGUCGGAAUCGCUAGUAAUCGCGGAUCAGAACGCCGCGGUGAAUACGUUCUCGGGGUUU